CGGGACGGACGAGAUGGGAUGCUCCAGGCUGCAGCCAUACCCGUCUCGACUGAUCAGCUGCUGGCCAUGUGGUUAUUUUUCCGUGCUUUUGGAGGGCAUUUCUUCUCAAAACAUACGAGACAUCACAUCUACUCCUGGGAGCAUUGCUACUCCCCCCACAAAGCUCUGUCUCAUUCAGAUACAUAUUAUAUAGUGAGGAGUUUGGAAGGUGCAGUUCCACUGAAUCAACGUGUAUGUCUCAGCUGGACGAGGACACUCCAAAGCUCCAGGAGCUGUUCCCUUUGAACAGAGGAGAGGGGUUGGUCAGUGCAUCAACAACUUGUUUAUGGAGCUGAUACAGAAACGUGCAGAUAGCAGUGUGCAUGAGGACCUGAUGCUCUGUGCUUGCCAUGAACCAAAGCCGUGGAGAAGAGAGAGAAACCCGGUGCUUCCAGAUCUCUGCAGUCUGGCCAGAGCAUGCUGCUUUGUCCUCAGGGUGACACGCGUGCUGAAUCUUCAGGAUCAAUGCAAAGUUUGAGAACUUAUGAGGUAUUUUUUUGGGGGAC
Molecule: long non-coding RNA, 545 nt
Organism: Etheostoma spectabile (orangethroat darter)
Lineage: Eukaryota; Metazoa; Chordata; Actinopteri; Perciformes; Percidae
Exons: 4
Source: RefSeq, a predicted model, not a curated record